AACGCGUGGGUAACCUGCCCUGUACACACGGAUAACAUACCGAAAGGUAUGCUAAUACGAGAUAAUAUGCUUUUAUCGCAUGGUAGAAGUAUCAAAGCUCCGGCGGUACAGGAUGGACCCGCGUCUGAUUAGCUAGUUGGUAAGGUAACGGCUUACCAAGGCGACGAUCAGUAGCCGACCUGAGAGGGUGAUCGGCCACAUUGGAACUGAGACACGGUCCAAACUCCUACGGGAGGCAGCAGUGGGGAAUAUUGCACAAUGGGCGAAAGCCUGAUGCAGCAACGCCGCGUGAGCGAUGAAGGCCUUCGGGUCGUAAAGCUCUGUCCUCAAGGAAGAUAAUGACGGUACUUGAGGAGGAAGCCCCGGCUAACUACGUGCCAGCAGCCGCGGUAAUACGUAGGGGGCUAGCGUUAUCCGGAAUUACUGGGCGUAAAGGGUGCGUAGGUGGUUUCUUAAGUCAGAGGUGAAAGGCUACGGCUCAACCGUAGUAAGCCUUUGAAACUGGGAAACUUGAGUGCAGGAGAGGAGAGUGGAAUUCCUAGUGUAGCGGUGAAAUGCGUAGAUAUUAGGAGGAACACCAGUUGCG
This 586-nucleotide ribosomal RNA is filed under the name uncultured Clostridium sp. RNAcentral's name for it is "bacterial SSU rRNA". It matches the Rfam family "Bacterial small subunit ribosomal RNA", at positions 112 to 717 of the family's 1533-position model. Lineage: Bacteria; Bacillati; Bacillota; Clostridia; Eubacteriales; Clostridiaceae. The record is from RNAcentral.